AAAGGAAUUGACGGGGGCCCGCACAAGCAGUGGAGUAUGUGGUUUAAUUCGAAGCAACGCGAAAAACCUUACCAGGUCUUGACAUCCUACUAACGAAGCAGAGAUGCAUUAGGUGCCCUUCGGGGAAAGUAGAGACAGGUGGUGCAUGGUUGUCGUCAGCUCGUGUCGUGAGAUGUUGGGUUAAGUCCCGCAACGAGCGCAACCCUUGUCAUUAGUUACUACAUUAAGUUGAGGACUCUAAUGAGACUGCCGUUGACAAAACGGAGGAAGGUGGGGACGACGUCAAAUCAUCAUGCCCCUUAUGACCUGGGCUACACAUGUACUACAAUGGCCGUAAACAGAGGGAAGCGAAGCCGCGAGGUGGAGCAAACCCCCAAAAACGGUCCCAGUUCGGAUUGUAGGCUGCAACCCGCCUACAUGAAGUCGGAAUUGCUAGUAAUCGUGGAUCAGCAUGCCACGGUGAAUACGUUCCCGGGCCUUGUACACACCGCCCGU
RNAcentral lists this ribosomal RNA (495 nucleotides) under uncultured bacterium. Its description in RNAcentral is "bacterial SSU rRNA". It matches the Rfam family "Bacterial small subunit ribosomal RNA", at positions 903 to 1397 of the family's 1533-position model. The record is from RNAcentral.